UACGAAGGGGGCUAGCGUUGCUCGGAAUCACUGGGCGUAAAGGGUGCGUAGGCGGGUCUUUAAGUCAGGGGUGAAAUCCUGGAGCUCAACUCCAGAACUGCCUUUGAUACUGAGGAUCUUCAGUUCGGGAGAGGUGAGUGGAACUGCGAGUGUAGAGGUGAAAUUCGUAGAUAUUCGCAAGAACACCAGUGGCGAAGGCGGCUCACUGGCCCGAUACUGACGCUGAGGCACGAAAGCGUGGGGAGCAAACAGG
RNAcentral lists this ribosomal RNA (253 nucleotides) under uncultured bacterium. RNAcentral describes it as "partial 16S ribosomal RNA". It matches the Rfam family "Bacterial small subunit ribosomal RNA", at positions 524 to 776 of the family's 1533-position model. The record is from RNAcentral.